AACGAACGCUGGCGGCAUGCCUAACACAUGCAAGUCGAACGCGUGGAGCGAUCCACGAGUGGCGCACGGGUGAGUAACGCGUGGGAACCUGCCCUGGAGUGUGGGAUAACCCGGCGAAAGCCGGGCUAAUACCGCAUACGACCUGAGGGUGAAAGAUUUAUCGCUCUAGGAGGGGCCCGCGUCGGAUUAGCUAGUUGGUGAGGUAAUGGCUCACCAAGGCGAUGAUCCGUAGCUGGUCUGAGAGGAUGAUCAGCCACACUGGGACUGAGACACGGCCCAGACUCCUACGGGAGGCAGCAGUGGGGAAUAUUGGACAAUGGGGGCAACCCUGAUCCAGCAAUGCCGCGUGGGCGAUGAAGGCCUUCGGGUUGUAAAGCCCUUUUGCACGCGACGAUGAUGACGGUAGCGUGAGAAGAAGCCCCGGCUAACUUCGUGCCAGCAGCCGCCUAA
RNAcentral lists this ribosomal RNA (450 nucleotides) under uncultured bacterium. RNAcentral's name for it is "partial 16S ribosomal RNA". It matches the Rfam family "Bacterial small subunit ribosomal RNA", at positions 29 to 522 of the family's 1533-position model. The record is from RNAcentral.